This 85-nucleotide transfer RNA is filed under the name Felis catus (domestic cat). It matches the Rfam family "tRNA". Rfam says of the family: Transfer RNA (tRNA) molecules are approximately 80 nucleotides in length. Their secondary structure includes four short double-helical elements and three loops (D, anti-codon, and T loops). Further hydrogen bonds mediate the characteristic L-shaped molecular structure. tRNAs have two regions of fundamental functional importance: the anti-codon, which is responsible for specific mRNA codon recognition, and the 3' end, to which the tRNAs corresponding amino acid is attached (by aminoacyl-tRNA synthetases). tRNAs cope with the degeneracy of the genetic code in two manners: having more than one tRNA (with a specific anti-codon) for a particular amino acid; and 'wobble' base-pairing, i.e. permitting non-standard base-pairing at the 3rd anti-codon position. RNAcentral also lists the same sequence under 2 other names. The record is from Rfam by way of RNAcentral. Lineage: Eukaryota; Metazoa; Chordata; Mammalia; Carnivora; Felidae.
GCCUGGGUGGCUCAGUCGGUUGAGCGUCCGACUUCAGCUCAAGUCAUGAUCUCGCAGUCUGUGAGUUCGAGCCCCACAUCAGGCU